CCCCAGCCCACUAUUUUAUGUUUUGAGACAGGUUCUCACUAAGUCACUGAGUUGCCCAACUUGUGAUCCUCCUGCCUGAGCCUCCCAGAGUGCUGGGAUUAUAGGCGUGUGCCACCGUAUGUGGCUCUGUCCAGUAUUUCUCUCAAAUUGCCAAGAGAGGGGUGCUGCAGUCCCAUAUUUUAAUUGUGGGAUUAUCUGUUCUUCCUUUAGGUUCCAUCAGUUUUUCCUUCAUAAUUCACAGCUCAGCCUCCUGAAUGCUGGGAUUACAGGGAUUGAACUCGGGACCUUGGCGUUUUCGAGGCAGGCGGCAAUGGCACCACUGAGCUAAAUCCCCGGCCCUAUGAGUGAGAUAAACACUUUUCAACUAAAAAAAGAAGAAGGAGCUGAGCAUGGCCAAGCGAUGAAAGAAUGUGAAAGUUUCUUUGUCUUACUGUACCUUUUCCUUGCAAUAAAAGCCCUUGCACAGGUGAGAGAGAUCUGAGGCAGUAAGAGGUAUCUAUCCCCUUCUGGGCUACCUUUGAGUAAUUUUUUUUCCUUUUCACCAGCCUCUCAUGUUUCUUAGGGAGCAGCCUCCAGUACAGAGUGGCCAGGAACAGGGCCUCUAGAGACAUGCGGAGCACUAGGGGAAUCUUGGCUCUUGAAGUAUGUCCAGCUUAUCUCUCUUCAGACUCUAGGCCAAAGACAGCCUUUCUUCUGCAUUGUGCAAAGCUGGGCUGCCUCUGGAGGUGCUCAGUGAUAUCGUGUGUCAGUCUUGAGGAUUAAAGCUUAGUAUUUGCUCACAGAGUUUUCUCAUCACAAGCAAAAAUCUGUUAGGGCCAGAGAUUUAGCUCAGUGGUGCGAUCCCUGCCUCACAAGUGCAAGGUCCUGAGUUCGAUCCUGGUACUGGGGGGAAAAAGUCUGGUACACAUCUUGCAGUUGAGUGGUUUCAGCUGUUUGUUCAAUGGCCAGUUUAUUUUGCCUCCUUUUGAGCAGUGUCAAGGAAAUGGGCCUGGCAUUGACUCUUUCUAUCCUUGCUUUGAUCUACAAGAUAACUCCAAAAAUUCGUAUCCAUGUUUUCUCCUAAUUUGCAGAUGUGCUAUAUUCAGCAUAUGUUUUGAGAAGUGCGACCUCACUAAUCCUGUAUACUGCCCAUUUCAGAACUACCCAAUUCCAAGUAGUAACAAAGGACUUUCCUCGGUGUACGCCUUUCAUAUGCAAACCAAACACUCCAGAACCUCAAUCUUUCAACUACUUCUUUCAUGAAAGUCUCACAAAUGGAGGAACUGUCUCUGCCUUCACUAACCAGGACCAGAUGUCAAGUAACUAGGGACAGUCUCUCCUGAAACUCUAGCCUACCCUAACCUGCUUAGAUUCUUUAUUUCGCACAAUAAAUACACUUGCGUUGCUUUCUUUGCACUCCUGUUUGUCCUUCCCCAACCUGGCCGAGUAUGGCUUGACGUGUGCUCUUUUUCCUGAGAACUAGGAGGUAUCUCUGCAAAGGCAACUGUCUCAGCAACUUUUGGCUUCACCAUACUUGAAUAAUAAAAUUGACCUUUUAUAAUAAUAUGCUUAAGUCGUUAAUAAGGUGCUACAUUUUAAGAGUUUAGUAAAGCAAAUCAGGCAUUUCCAUGUAAUUUCCAAAGCAUAAGGCACAGUGCACAAAACAAGACAAAUGACAGAACCAUAGAGGGGCAGAUCAAUGCUCAGAGGGGCUGUUGAAGUGAAGUAGUGAUUGAGAGAGUUCUCUGCUAGAUAAAAGGGCCCCUGCCUACAGGAAACAGUCUCUCCAGAGAGAACAAAGACCUGCUUUUUACACACACACACACACACACACACUCGCCCUCAGCUGUAGCCAAUCAUCUGCCUCCCCUACACUCCCCCUAGCCCUCAUAAACCGCACCCAGCCAGCCCCUGGCUGCUGUUCUCACCAUCGUUCGAGACAGUCCGGCAGCUCUGUCCUUUAAUAAAAGCUUUGCCUUGGGUGUUCGUGUUUCAGCUCAUUUUAUUUCUCUCAUUAUUGGUGCCGAACACCCGGGAGGGACAUGAUCGGGAUUUUGCGAUGAUCCCCCCCACCGGUCGGGGUUGAUUAGCCUCCCACCGUCCUCAGACCCUGCCGAGCCAACACCCAACCAGGGGCCCUCACUCCUGCCAUCGCUGACGCUUAACAUCCACACUGGCCUUCAGCUCCUGGGUGAGUACUCAGGUUAGCCCCGCUCUCGGGUGCCCUGCCUCUCAGUGUUCUCACUCAAAACAUCUUAGCGCUAAGUCAGAUGGACUCCUCUCUGCCCAUGGCCAGGACUGCUGCCCCUGGGGGACGCCCCAUUGGCUCGGAUCCUCUCGGUCUCUCUCCAGAGAUUGUCAAAGGGGACAAGGAUGCUCCUCACUCUCGCGCUUCUCCUCCGGAGCUUUUCUGAUACUCACCUUACAUAUCUGGCCUCCCUUUAUUAUGGGAGCUGCUCAAUCCAAACCCCCAUGAUCAACCCCUCUGAGAUGCCUAUUGGCUAACUUUAAAACUCUCGGGCUCGCUGACGACACCAAGCCUAAAUGGCUUCUUUCCUAUUGCAACCAAGCGUGGCCUCUAUAUAGAUUAGGUGACGAUUCCGAAUGGCCAGAAAAUGGAACGUUCCACCCGAAUGUUCUUCGGGACCUCCACUAUUUCUGUCAUCGCAAUGGCAAAAGGUCUGAAGUCCCCUGUGUGCAGCCUUUCAUCCACCUCCUCACGCGCCCUUCUCUUCGUCAGUCCUGCUCCACCCCUCAGAUUCUCCUCGCUCACGCGGUUUCACCCCCACUUCCAGUCUCCGCUCAGAACCAGACCCGGCUCCCUUCGACCUGGCCGACUGCCCUCCACCCCGCCCUGCAAUCCUUCUGCCUCAUCGUCCUUGGGGCCCUCGGCCGCGCCGCGCUCUGCCUCCCCACACCGCUCACUCGCUCUCACCACCGCAAACCGCCCACACCUCCUGUUUCCCCUCCUCGCACCCGCGCCCGGUACCCAACCCUUCCAGCCCCCAUCAUGCCCCUCCGGGAGGUGGCGGGAAUGGAAGGCGUUGUCAGAGUCUGCGUCCCUUUCUCCCUCACAGAUCUUUGUCAGAUUAAAAAGCGUCUUGGCUCUUUUUCCUCUGACCCUGACUCCUACAUCAAAAAAUUUCGUUACUUGACUCUGUCCUAUGAUCUGACUUGACACGACGUCUAUAUGAUACUGACUUAUCCCCAAGGACAAGGAAAGAGUUUGGACUGAGGCCCAGACCCCAACAGAUGAAUUUCAUGCUGCUGGUAACACCAAGCCAGUGGGAGACAGGCCGUCCCCUGAGAAAACCCACUAUGGAACUCUCAGCUAGGCCAGGCAGAUAGAGGCCACAGAGACCAUAUGACUCUCUGCCGCAUAGAAGGCUUAAAAAAGACAGCUCACAAGUCUGAUAACUUUGAUAAGAUUAAAGAAAUAACACAGACCCAUGAAAAACCCGGCACAGUUUCUGUAGCGCCUCACUGAGGCCCUUCAAAAAUACACCAAAAUGGAUCCUACCUCCCAGGUGGACAUGAUCAUCAUUAACACUCAGUUUAUCUCUUAGUCAGCCCCUGAUACUAAGAGAAAGCUAAAAAAGGCUGAAGAGGGUCAAAGAGGGCUUACACUCAGAUUUUUUAAAAAAACUGAAAAGAGAAAAUAAGUGCUGGAUUAAAAACAGCUAGAAAAGCUCUGAAGAAGAUAAAACAAAAUAGUAAAAAAACCCAAAAAACAAUCCACUCCUGGAUUUAAGAGCCAAGGCCAGCACCAUGUUAUCAGCCUGAUGCUGUUGUAAAGGUCUGGAAUCAAAAACAAAGCCAGAAAACUACAGCUGUGCUCUACCAGACAUCAAGAGAUUUUACCAAAAAAUCAAGUUACAAAUUUUAGUUAACCGAUAAAUGUAUUUGUUUCAAAUUGAGUUGAUGUUUAAUUGGUGUGCUUAAGACAUUUCUUGUGCAUUGUAAAUUCUUGAAUUGCAAUUAUAGGGUUAACUUACUCUUUUCUGUACUUUGUUGAUGAAAAACUCAAGGUUACUACUGUUUUAUUGGCAGCCAGUUAAAUUUUAAAAUGUAACCAUCUGAGAACAGAAAAAAAAGGGACACUUUAAAAUUUUAACAGCUGAAGAUGAGUUUGUUAUAGAAGGUUUAUAGUGAGACGGAGGAAAAAUAUUUAAAAAGCUUUCACUACUCCUAUUGCAAUGCUAAUGUUACUGAUCUUCUCUUCUUGGUGUUCAACAACUAGUUUGGAGACCAAAACUAAAAAGGUAACUGGGCUAUGAGGACAGCCAAUAUUUUAGCCCUGGCCCCUCAAGGUCAACAAAGAUCCAAGACAUAAGGGAACCUUCUCUACAGGAUCCUACCUCUUUGGAGCAGUUGGAGGUCUUUACCAAUCAGACAGUCGGUGAACUCAUUAUGGCCAGUUAUCAACCUUUUGCCACAGGAGACCACGCCAUCAUCACGUAGGACCCAGACCUGUUACCCUUUAUCACUGCCUCUGUGCUCACAGGAAGCAGCUACAAUAAAGAGACCUCUGCCCUUACUCCAUAAUAAUAUCAAGAGUCUGGAAUGAUAGAGUUCUCUGCUAGGUAAAAUGGCCCUGAGAACCCUGCAUCCUAAAAUGGCCCCUACCUACAGGAAACAAGUCACCUCCUUUUUUCCACCUCGCCCCCAGCCGUAGCCAAUCAUCUGCCACUACCACACUCCCCCAGCCCUUAUAAACCUCACCCAGCCAACCCCUGGUUGCUAUUCUCGCCAUUGUUCGAGACAGCCUGGCAGCUCUGCCCCUUAAUAAAAGCUUUAGCUUGGGUGUUCA
Heterocephalus glaber (naked mole-rat) is the source of this 4789-nucleotide non-coding RNA. Lineage: Eukaryota; Metazoa; Chordata; Mammalia; Rodentia; Bathyergidae. The record is from RefSeq and is a predicted model, not a curated record.